AUGAACGCUGGCGGCGUGCCUAAUACAUGCAAGUCGAGCGAACAGAUGAGGAGCUUGCUCCUCUGACGUUAGCGGCGGACGGGUGAGUAACACGUGGAUAACCUACCUAUAAGACUGGGAUAACUUCGGGAAACCGGAGCUAAUACCGGAUAAUAUAUUGAACCGCAUGGUUCAAUAGUGAAAGACGGUUUUGCUGUCACUUAUAGAUGGAUCCGCGCCGCAUUAGCUAGUUGGUAAGGUAACGGCUUACCAAGGCAACGAUGCGUAGCCGACCUGAGAGGGUGAUCGGCCACACUGGAACUGAGACACGGUCCAGACUCCUACGGGAGGCAGCAGUAGGGAAUCUUCCGCAAUGGGCGAAAGCCUGACGGAGCAGCGCCGCGUGAGUGAUGAAGGUCUUCGGAUCGUAAAACUCUGUUAUUAGGGAAGAACAAAUGUGAAAGUAACUAUGCACGUCUUGACGGUACCUAAUCAGAAAGCCACGGCUAACUACGUG
RNAcentral lists this ribosomal RNA (496 nucleotides) under uncultured bacterium. RNAcentral describes it as "partial 16S ribosomal RNA". It matches the Rfam family "Bacterial small subunit ribosomal RNA", at positions 29 to 507 of the family's 1533-position model. The record is from RNAcentral.